RNAcentral lists this transfer RNA (50 nucleotides) under Aureoumbra lagunensis. Its description in RNAcentral is "partial tRNA". It matches the Rfam family "tRNA", at positions 9 to 56 of the family's 71-position model. Rfam says of the family: Transfer RNA (tRNA) molecules are approximately 80 nucleotides in length. Their secondary structure includes four short double-helical elements and three loops (D, anti-codon, and T loops). Lineage: Eukaryota; Pelagophyceae; Sarcinochrysidales; Sarcinochrysidaceae. The record is from RNAcentral.
AGCCUAAUGGAUAAGGCGCCUCCCUCCUAAGGAGGAGAAUGCGGGUUCGA